Molecule: ribosomal RNA, 449 nt
Filed under: uncultured bacterium
Lineage: Bacteria
Description: partial 16S ribosomal RNA
Rfam family: Bacterial small subunit ribosomal RNA
Source: RNAcentral
AACGAACGCUGGCGGCAGGCUUAACACAUGCAAGUCGAACGUGAUCUUCGGAUCUAGUGGCAGACGGGUGAGGAACACGUGGGAACAUCCCUUUCAGUUCGGAAUAACGUUGGGAAACUAACGCUAAUACCGGAUACGUCCUUCGGGAGAAAGAUUUAUCGCUGAAAGAUUGGCCCGCGUCUGACUAGAUAGUUGGUGAGGUAACGGCUCACCAAGGCUACGAUCAGUAGCUGAUCUGAGAGGAUGGUCAGCCACAUUGGGACUGAGACACGGCCCAAACUCCUACGGGAGGCAGCAGUGGGGAAUAUUGGACAAUGGGCGCAAGCCUGAUCCAGCCAUGCCGCGUGAGUGAUGACGGCCUUCGUGUUGUAAAGCUCUUUUGCCCGGGAAGAUAAUGACUGUACCGGAAGAAUAAGCCCCGGCAAACUUCGUGCCAGCCGCCGCAGUAA